Molecule: transfer RNA, 68 nt
Filed under: Haematopota vexativa
Lineage: Eukaryota; Metazoa; Arthropoda; Insecta; Diptera; Tabanidae
Description: tRNA-Ile
Source: RNAcentral
AAUGAAUUGCCUGAUAAAAGGAUUACCUUGAUAGGGUAAAUAAUAUGAUAAAUAUAUCAUAUUCAUUA